UAGAGUACAAAGCUUAUAAAAGCAACUAACUGUUAAUUAGAAGACUGCGAACUAACCUAUAUCGCUUACUCUACCC
This 76-nucleotide transfer RNA is filed under the name Unio tumidus. RNAcentral describes it as "tRNA-Asn". The record is from RNAcentral. Lineage: Eukaryota; Metazoa; Mollusca; Bivalvia; Unionida; Unionidae.